CACAGCUUGUACAGGAUAGGUAGGAGCCUUUGAAACGUGAGCGCUAGCUUACGUGGAGGCGCUGGUGGGAUACUACCCUAGCUGUGUUGGCUUUCUAACCCGCACCACUUAUCGUGGUGGGAGACAGUGUCAGGCGGGCAGUUUGACUGGGGCGGUCGCCUCCUAAAAGGUAACGGAGGCGCUCAAAGGUUCCCUCAGAAUGGUUGGAAAUCAUUCAUAGAGUGUAAAGGCAUAAGGGAGCUUGACUGCGAGACCUACAAGUCGAG
RNAcentral lists this ribosomal RNA (266 nucleotides) under Staphylococcus aureus. RNAcentral's name for it is "partial 23S ribosomal RNA". It matches the Rfam family "Bacterial large subunit ribosomal RNA", at positions 2128 to 2393 of the family's 2925-position model. The record is from RNAcentral. Lineage: Bacteria; Bacillati; Bacillota; Bacilli; Caryophanales; Staphylococcaceae.